GCACAAACUACCACGAAAAACUGUAAGGUUGUAGCAGGAAUCAUCUUCUUUAGAAAAAGCAAAAAACAGAGCAGAGCAGAGAUGUAUUACUUCAUGCUUUGCCAAAGAUAAAAGGAAAAGGGGGCAGCAAGAAGAAGGGCUCUACAGCAAGAGUGGAGACAACAAGCAAAAUGGCAGUGCUCUGCAGGACAAUUUGCUGAGUGCAGCUUUGGAGGGCAAACCUUUUACAGUUGGUGGCGAAAAAUCUGGAACUGAAUAUGGGUUAGAUUCAUCGACUUUGCUGCUGUUCUGUUUCUCUUUUCGUGUUUCGUCAGAGGAAUAUAUUCAUCAUGAGUCCUCAUCCAUCAGUUGGAGAUUGAUUAGAGUUGCUGCUUCUCUCUUGGUCUUCGGCAGAGGAGUUCACCAUGAGUCGUCCCUUGGAGUGGCUUCAGAAUUUCAUGAACUUUUCGUUUUUGAGAAGAGUUUUCGCAAAAAUAAAAAGGAAAAUUAACACAGAUCACCCAAACACAAAAUAAAAGAGACCGGCGAAAGGGGAGGAGCCUCGGCGGCAGCGUGCUAAGGAACAUGACUGGAGGGGCCACAGCGGGAGGAGCCACGACCACAGCUAAGGAUUAGAGGCAGUGGCCCGCGUGGAGGAGCGGCGAGGAACCCGGACGGCAGCCGGGGAAGAGGAGCCUGAGCCUGACAGCGCGCCGGGAGAACUCAGGUCGGCGCGCAGCUCGGAGCCCGAGCCUGAGCCUGACAGCUGUGCGAGCAUCGCGAGAGGAAUGGGAAGAGACGAGGCAGGUAGGCCCCGCGUUCGUCCGCUCUGUGCGAGCAUCGCGAGAGAGGUUUCUCGUUGUAUAUAUGGAAGAAAAUAAUUGAAACUCCCCGUAAACUA
Molecule: long non-coding RNA, 880 nt
Organism: Brachypodium distachyon (stiff brome)
Lineage: Eukaryota; Viridiplantae; Streptophyta; Magnoliopsida; Poales; Poaceae
Exons: 3
Source: RefSeq, a predicted model, not a curated record